Molecule: transfer RNA, 69 nt
Filed under: Pekania pennanti (fisher)
Lineage: Eukaryota; Metazoa; Chordata; Mammalia; Carnivora; Mustelidae
Description: Martes pennanti (fisher) tRNA-Thr
Source: RNAcentral
GUCUUUGUAGUAUACUGAUUACUUUGGUCUUGUAAACCAAAAACGGAGAACACUCUCUCCCUAAGACUC